UAGGGAAUCUUCGGCAAUGGACGAAAGUCUGACCGAGCAACGCCGCGUGAGUGAAGAAGGUUUUCGGAUCGUAAAACUCGGUUGUUAGAGAAGAACAAGGACGUUAGUAACUGAACGUCCCCUGACGGUAUCUAACCAGAAAGCCACGGCUAACUACGUGCCAGCAGCCGCGGUAAUACGUAGGUGGCAAGCGUUGUCCGGAUUUAUUGGGCGUAAAGCGAGCGCAGGCGGUUUCUUAAGUCUGAUGUGAAAGCCCCCGGCUCAACCGGGGAGGGUCAUUGGAAACUGGGAGACUUGAGUGCAGAAGAGGAGAGUGGAAUUCCAUGUGUAGCGGUGAAAUGCGUAGAUAUAUGGAGGAACACCAGUGGCGAAGGCGGCUCUCUGGUCUGUAACUGACGCUGAGGCUCGAAAGCGUGGGGAGCAAACAGG
This 429-nucleotide ribosomal RNA is filed under the name Gemmatimonadota bacterium. Its description in RNAcentral is "Gemmatimonadetes bacterium partial 16S ribosomal RNA". It matches the Rfam family "Bacterial small subunit ribosomal RNA", at positions 355 to 776 of the family's 1533-position model. Lineage: Bacteria; Pseudomonadati; Gemmatimonadota. The record is from RNAcentral.